This 388-nucleotide ribosomal RNA is filed under the name Eukaryota sp. Its description in RNAcentral is "partial small subunit ribosomal RNA". It matches the Rfam family "Eukaryotic small subunit ribosomal RNA", at positions 582 to 975 of the family's 1831-position model. The record is from RNAcentral.
AUUCCAGCUCCGAUAGCGUAUAUUAAAGUUGUUGCAGUUAAAAAGCUCGUAGUUGGGAAGGAAGGUGGGAAGGUAUUUGAUCCGAAGGAAUUUGUGAAUCAAGCCAUCCUGCUUUACACUGUUUUAUGAUGAAUUAAUUUUCAUUUAUCAACAUUUUACUUUGAAAAAAUUAGAUCGCUUAAAGAAGGAAUUUCAUAUUCACUUCCAUUGAAUAAUCUACCAUAGGAUAAUUGAAUAAGACCUACAUCUUAUUUUGUUGGUUUUCUAGAUGAAGGUAAUGAUAAAUAGGGACAGACGGGGAUAUCAGUAUUUGGCUGUCAGAGGUGAAAUUCUAAGACCAGUUGAAGACUCACUACUGCGAAAGCAUUUAUCAAGCAUGUUUUCAUUA